CCUACGGGAGGCAGCAGUGGGGAAUAUUGCGCAAUGGGCGAAAGCCUGACGCAGCAACGCCGCGUGAGUGAGGAAGGCCUUCGGGUUGUAAAACUCUGUCUUUGGGGACGAUAAUGACGGUACCCAAGGAGGAAGCCACGGCUAACUACGUGCCAGCAGCCGCGGUAAUA
RNAcentral lists this ribosomal RNA (170 nucleotides) under uncultured Clostridium sp. RNAcentral describes it as "partial 16S ribosomal RNA". It matches the Rfam family "Bacterial small subunit ribosomal RNA", at positions 338 to 525 of the family's 1533-position model. The record is from RNAcentral. Lineage: Bacteria; Bacillati; Bacillota; Clostridia; Eubacteriales; Clostridiaceae.